Molecule: ribosomal RNA, 399 nt
Filed under: uncultured bacterium
Lineage: Bacteria
Description: partial 16S ribosomal RNA
Rfam family: Bacterial small subunit ribosomal RNA
Source: RNAcentral
AAUAUUGCACAAUGGGGGACACCCUGAUGCAGCGACGCCGCGUGAGUGAAGAAGUAUUNCGGGAUNUNAAGAUCUAUCAGCUGGGNGGAAAAUGACGGUCCCUGACUACGAAGUCCCGGCUAACUACGUGCCAGCACCCGCGGUAACCCGUAGGGGGCAAGCGUUACCCGGAUUUACCGGUUGUAAAGGGAGCGUAGGUGGUGUGGAAAGUCAGAAGUGAAAGCCCAGGGCUCACCCCCGGGACUGGAUUCGAAACUGCCGAAAUAGAGUGCAGGAGAGGUAAGUGGAAGUCCUAGUGUAGCGGUGAAAUGCGUAGAUAUUAGGAGGAACACCAGUGGCGAAGGCGGCUUACUGGACUGUAACUGACACUGAGGAUCGAAAGAGUGGGGAGCAAACAGG